RNAcentral lists this non-coding RNA (30 nucleotides) under Rattus norvegicus (Norway rat). Lineage: Eukaryota; Metazoa; Chordata; Mammalia; Rodentia; Muridae. The record is from RNAcentral.
UCAGCUAUUCCUACAAGCCUCCUCCCUAAG